CUAGACAGCCGUUAAACAGAGGUCAGAUGAAUGGGUGAAGGGUGGUUCAUGGGCGGCUGUAUUAUACUGGUAUGAUGGAAAGUCCAUCUGAGUGAGAAAACUACAUGAGGUGAUCAGGAAAUUGGGCUUUUCAGAAAAAAAAAAAACUUAAUUGAAGGUGAUUAUGAUCUAGCAUUUAAAUAGUAAUUGCAAAAUUAUACAAGGCAGUCCUGGGACUAUGCUUCCCAAACUAGGGUGUGCAUCAGAAAAACAGACUCACUCCCAGGCCCUGCUCUAGGGCAACAAGUCUGUGCUUUAUUACAAGCUCUAUAAAUGGCUCUUAGGCGGCCAUCAGCCCGCCCAGCACCAAGUCACAGACCAGCACCAGGAACCACUGCCCCAGACACUGUUCGUGUGUCUGUGAAAGUGACAAAAACUUCUCUGGCAGGAGCUUGAUGAUAAGGAUAAUCUUGGUAACUACAAGAGGUCCCUCUCAUAGCUCAGGGCUUCUCGGAUGUUCUCUGUCUUUCUAGCAAAGAGCUAAGAAAUAAGCUGGUUUGGGGAAAGGGGCCAGUCACUUACAGCCUGAGUUGAGCCCUCCCGCCUGGGGACAUUCAGCCCUGAGUCCCUGUGGAUCAUUGUUCCUUCACUAAGCCUCAGAUGUCAACAAAGGGACAAGGGCUAUCUCGGGCCCCUUGUGCAUCAGGAGGACAGUAAGAGGUGACCCAAGUGGAAUUAGCAUCACUGAGAUGACGUCAUUAAAACCUGUCCAAGAGCUAAUUAAAUAAGCGUCAUGGGCUCAAUCAUCAGGACUCUAAACAGAGCACAAAGAUGAAUUACAGGCCUGGUGCAGGUCUCAGAGAUGAGAGUAACAAGACUCUUAGUCCACGGACCAUAGUGUAACGAGGAUGACUAUUCGUCAUCAUCACGCGGCACAGAAACACCCGAGCCACAACCCACGGAGCUCAAGCAAAUCCUGGUCCACCUCCUUGUCUAGGGAAGUGCUUGUGUGCCAAGUCAUGAACCAGCCAGUGCAUGCUGGGGCCAAGAACAGGCAUGAACCACUCAUGAUGCACCCUCUGACAGCUCCAGCUAAAAGUCAGCCUCGACGGUGUCAGCAAGGUCGGUGCGUGUGGCUCUGUGGGUCUUUGCUUUGAGGCCGGAGCAGGUAAAGUGGUCAGAAAGGCACCACCCAAAGUUUCUCACACAUUGAUACCUAUGAAGAGUGACGGUAUUUCUGGGGCACACGGGGGCAAUCUGAGGGCAUGGGGAACAUGAGAUGAAGCACCAGGCCACGGACUCUGGCUGUCUGAAGCCCUGCACAGCCACCAGGGCUGGGGGCAGCCCAGUUCUGCAGCCCAGCGGGGUGCCAGGCGUGCCAGCUGGCGAGUUUCAGCUCAGCUGGGUUCUCCCACUGUUGGGAGCAUCAGGCCGACCACGUAACAGGUAUGUGAGCUUCAGUGAGAACCUCACCUCUCAGAACCUCAGGUUUUUCAUGCGCUCAGAGUGGAUUGGAACACAUAGCUCACCUCACAUGGUAGCUGCCGGGAACAGAUAUAUGUGAUGAAGGGAGAAAAGUGUGUGUGUGUGUGUGUGUGUGUGUGUACACAUAUAUAAAAAUAUCUAACACACUAACAUGCAGUAAAUACCCAAAUAUUAGUUACAUUUAUUUCACUCAUUAUUUACAGUACUUUAAAUUUUUGUAAAAAGCCUUAAAUUAAUUAGGGAGGGACUAUUGUCCCAUUUUUCCAAAUGCACGGGGAGGCAGGUGACUUUCCCUAAGGGACAGAGUUGAUUAGUUCCAGCUGGAAGUAAAUCCACGUCUUCUACCUCUUGGCAUCAGACUGCUUUCCGCCUGAGGCCACUGCACCCGUGGUCCCUAAACCUUAUGCCAGGUGGCUCUUUCUGCCAGGUACUCCUCUCUGUUGG
RNAcentral lists this long non-coding RNA (1908 nucleotides) under Sus scrofa (pig). Its description in RNAcentral is "lncRNA (ENSSSCG00005022646.1)". Lineage: Eukaryota; Metazoa; Chordata; Mammalia; Artiodactyla; Suidae. The record is from RNAcentral.